RNAcentral lists this ribosomal RNA (253 nucleotides) under uncultured bacterium. RNAcentral describes it as "partial 16S ribosomal RNA". It matches the Rfam family "Bacterial small subunit ribosomal RNA", at positions 524 to 776 of the family's 1533-position model. The record is from RNAcentral.
UACGAAGGGUGCAAGCGUUACUCGGAAUUACUGGGCGUAAAGGGAGCGUAGGCGGAUAGUUAAGUCAGAGGUGAAAGCCCAGGGCUCAACCUUGGAAUUGCCUUUGAUACUGGCUAUCUUGAGUAUGGGAGAGGUUAGCGGAACUCCGAGUGUAGAGGUGAAAUUCGUAGAUAUUCGGAAGAACACCAGUGGCGAAGGCGGCUAACUGGUCCGGUUCUGACGCUGAUGCGCGAAAGCGUGGGGAGCAAACGGG